RNAcentral lists this ribosomal RNA (29 nucleotides) under Amblyrhynchus cristatus. RNAcentral's name for it is "partial 12S ribosomal RNA". The record is from RNAcentral. Lineage: Eukaryota; Metazoa; Chordata; Lepidosauria; Squamata; Iguanidae.
UAGAGUUUUGGUCCUAAACUUAAUGCUAU